RNAcentral lists this ribosomal RNA (301 nucleotides) under uncultured bacterium. RNAcentral's name for it is "partial 16S ribosomal RNA". It matches the Rfam family "Bacterial small subunit ribosomal RNA", at positions 509 to 807 of the family's 1533-position model. The record is from RNAcentral.
CAGUCGCCACGGUAAUACGUAGGGUGCGAGCGUUAAUCGGAAUUACUGGGCGUAAAGCGUGCGUAGGCGGUUCGUUAAGUCUGUUGUGAAAGCCCCGGGCUCAACCUGGGAAUGGCAAUGGAUACUGGCGAGCUAGAGUGUGUCAGAGGAUGGUGGAAUUCCCGGUGUAGCGGUGAGAUGCGUAGAUAUGCGGAGGAACACCGAUGGCGAAGGCAAUCCCCUGGACCUGUACUGACGCUCAUGCACGAAAGCGUGGGGAGCAAACAGGAUUAGAGACCCCCGUAGUCCCUGUCUCUUAUAC